AUUGAACGCUGGCGGCAGGCUUAACACAUGCAAGUCGAGCGGGGUGAUGGUGCUUGCACUAUCACUUAGCGGCGGACGGGUGAGUAAUGCUUAGGAAUCUGCCUAUUAGUGGGGGACAACAUCUCGAAAGGGAUGCUAAUACCGCAUACGUCCUACGGGAGAAAGCAGGGGAUCACUUGUGACCUUGCGCUAAUAGAUGAGCCUAAGUCGGAUUAGCUAGUUGGUGGGGUAAAGGCCUACCAAGGCGACGAUCUGUAGCGGGUCUGAGAGGAUGAUCCGCUACACUGGGACUGAGACACGGCCCAGACUCCUACGGGAGGCAGCAGUGGGGAAUAUUGGACAAUGGGGGGAACCCUGAUCCAGCCAUGCCGCGUGUGUGAAGAAGGCCUUAUGGUUGUAAAGCACUUUGAGCGAGGAGGAGGCUCUUUUGGUUAAUACCCAAGAUGAGUGGACGUUACUCGCAGAAUAAGCACCGGCUAACUCUGUGCCAGCAGCCGCCGUAA
Molecule: ribosomal RNA, 503 nt
Filed under: uncultured bacterium
Lineage: Bacteria
Description: partial 16S ribosomal RNA
Rfam family: Bacterial small subunit ribosomal RNA
Source: RNAcentral